This 512-nucleotide ribosomal RNA is filed under the name Bacillus subtilis. RNAcentral's name for it is "bacterial SSU rRNA". It matches the Rfam family "Bacterial small subunit ribosomal RNA", at positions 555 to 1069 of the family's 1533-position model. The record is from RNAcentral. Lineage: Bacteria; Bacillati; Bacillota; Bacilli; Caryophanales; Bacillaceae.
UGGGCGUAAGGGCUCGCAGGCGGUUUCUUAAGUCUGAUGUGAAAGCCCCCGGCUCAACCGGGGAGGGUCAUUGGAAACUGGGGAACUUGAGUGCAGAAGAGGAGAGUGGAAUUCCACGUGUAGCGGUGAAAUGCGUAGAGAUGUGGAGGAACACCAGUGGCGAAGGCGACUCUCUGGUCUGUAACUGACGCUGAGGAGCGAAAGCGUGGGGAGCGAACAGGAUUAGAUACCCUGGUAGUCCACGCCGUAAACGAUGAGUGCUAAGUGUUAGGGGGUUUCCGCCCCUUAGUGCUGCAGCUAACGCAUUAAGCACUCCGCCUGGGGAGUACGGUCGCAAGACUGAAACUCAAAGGAAUUGACGGGGGCCCGCACAAGCGGUGGAGCAUGUGGUUUAAUUCGAAGCAACGCGAAGAACCUUACCAGGUCUUGGCGGCCGCUGACAAUCCUAGAGAUAGAACGUCCCCUUCCGGGGCACAGAGUGACGUGUUGUACGUGUGUCUCCUCCUCUCGUG